RNAcentral lists this ribosomal RNA (871 nucleotides) under uncultured eukaryote. RNAcentral describes it as "bacterial SSU rRNA". It matches the Rfam family "Eukaryotic small subunit ribosomal RNA", at positions 636 to 1426 of the family's 1831-position model. The record is from RNAcentral.
UCGGUGUCUAACUGGCAUGUCGUGCGAACGUCCUGUCUGUGGCCCCGCCUUGCCGUGUCCGUGUGCGUCGUUUUGGGUAGUUACCGGGACAUCUCGUCCUGGGGCGUCUUGCCAACGGCCUCCGGAUGCACGGAGGGGGCCUGCUCGCACCCUAUCGUGGUGCUGCUUGACCCGAGUGUCUUCGGAUGGGGCAGACACCGUUUACUUGACAAUUAGAGUGGCUCAAAGGCAGCUAUAUUUCCGCCCUGGAAUAUUCCAGUGCAUGUAUAAUGGAGAUGACCUCGGUUCUAUUUUGUCGGUUUCGGAUUAUCCCGAGGUAAUGGUCAUAGGGACAGACGUGCCCAUUCGUAUGCGACGUUAGAGGUGAAAUUCUUGGAUCGUCGCAAGACGGACAGAAGCGAAGGCAUUUGGCAAGAAUGUUUUCACUGAUCAAGAACGAAAGUCAGAGGUGCCAAGGCGAUUAGAUACCGCCCUAGUUCUGACCAUAAACGAUGCCAGCCAGCAAUCCGCCGGAGUUCCUCCGAUGACUCGGCGGGCGGCUUCCGGGAAACCAAAAGCUUUUGGGUUCCGGGGGAAGUAUGGUUGCAAAGCUGAAACUUAAAGGAAUUGACGGAAGGGCACUACAAGGAGUGGAGCCUGCGGCUUAAUUUGACUCAACACGGGGCAACCCACCAGGUCCGGACACUGGGAGGAUUGACAGAUUGAGAGCUCUUUCUUGAUUCAGUGGGUAGUGGUGCAUGGUCGUUUUUAGUUGGUGGAGCGAUUUGUCAGGUUCAUUCCGGUAACGAGCGAGACUCUAGCCUGCUAAAUAGUCGUUUGAGCAUCCUUUAGUGCUGCUCACGAUUAUAUAUCUUCUUAGAGGGAUAGGCGG